CAAUAGCGUAUAUUAAAGUUGUUGCAGUUAAAAGGCUCGUAGUUGGAUUUCUGGUGGGAGCGAUCGGUCUGGCGCUUAGCGCGAGUACUUGCAUCGUCUCCGGCCAUCCUUGGGGAGAGUCUGUCUGGCAUUAAGUUGUCGGGCAGAGGAUCCUCAUCGUUUACUGUGAAAAAAUUAGAGUGUUCAAAGCAGGCUUAUGCCGUUGAAUAUAUUAGCAUGGAAUAAUAAGAUAGGACUUUGGUACUAUUUUGUUGGUUUGCGCACCAAAGUAAUGAUUAAUAGGGACAGUUGGGGGUAUUCGUAUUCCGUUGUCAGAGGUGAAAUUCUUGGAUUUACGGAAGACGAACUACUGCGAAAGCAUUUACCAAGGAUGUUUUCAUUAA
This 383-nucleotide ribosomal RNA is filed under the name uncultured eukaryote. RNAcentral's name for it is "partial 18S ribosomal RNA". It matches the Rfam family "Eukaryotic small subunit ribosomal RNA", at positions 592 to 976 of the family's 1831-position model. The record is from RNAcentral.